AUUAUUUUAUCGACAUAUGCAUACACCAUUAGUGUGGUGUCAAAGGUAAGCUAAAAUUAGAUCGAAACUGAUGCAAUAUAUGGUAAUGAGUUAUAAUACGGUGAAAACGUGUACCAAUAGCGUGUUUCAGCUAUUCCAUUCGUUUCGAAUUUAAGUUUUUUUCUCAAUCAUUCAUUACCAAAUUAUCUGAUUUAAAUGAAUUUUAUUUCAAUUUAUUUUGUUUAUUUUAUAAUAAUUAUUUUUAUAAUGUUUGGCGGGGAUACAAAUCUCUAAAAAAAAAAUGUUUCGAGAAAGAAAACAACCAAUAAAAAUAAAUAAGACAAUCUCCGACUGUUAUCAUGGUUAUGGAACGACCAUUUAACUUCAAAAUUUUUUUUUUCUUUACAAAAAAAUAUUGUGAUCCCCCAAUUUGGAGAUAAUAUAUAUUGUGAUUAAACAGAUGACAAAACAAGAAAAAAAAACUGAAUCCAAAUUUCCCCCAUACCUAUAUAUAUAUAGUGUUAAAUUUAUUCUAUUUCUAUUCCAAUGUUAUUUUUAAACAAUCAUGGUCUAUAUAGAUUUCUAAAACGGACCAAUUAUUUUCAAAAGGGAUAGGCCGGGGUUGGAGGAAGGGAGGAUAGACUGGCCGAUUACGAUAUAUUUAUACAAAUAAAACCCGAUUAACUUUUGAUCGAUCUUUUACUGGUCUUUUCCCUCCUCCCGAAACAUACAAUAUGUAGGGGAUUUUUUUUGAGAAUCAGUUGUCUAGCACAUGUUGUUAAUUAUUAUAAAAAUAAUGAUAACAAACGACAAUAAAUGUCCCACAAAAUGUACAAUAAAUGCUGUAGAAAUUAAAAUAUACAUGAAAUGAAGCGGAUUUUUUUUUAAGUAGGGAGACAUAGGUGCAGAAAAUUUUAUUAGAAGAUUUUCUUCCAAAAAAUAACUGAUUUUUACAAUCAAGGGGUAGAUGUGUUGGGUUGUGGAAGAGGUUGAUAGUACGCGCUUUCCAAUGGAGCCGUCACUUUAAACAAUUGUAUUCAAUGAUCUGUACAUGUAAGCACGAUCUAAAAUAUUCAAGACAAAGUUUUCAAAAUUAUUAUUGUACAUGUAUGAAGUUUUAUUUUCCUAUUUGUUUCAUUUAUGAAAUAAUCAUUCAAUCAAGAGUCUGGUUGUUCUUCGAUAAUUGUAUAUAUGUUAUUGUAAUUUUUUCAUAUUGCCCAUGUGUGCCCAUUGAUUUGAAAAGAAGUUUAUAACUAGUAUAAUGUUAUUCCUAAAUAUAUUCUAUCCUAUUCUAUUAAAAUCUGUUUUUUUUUUUACAUCCUAUCAUCUAUUCUUUUCGGUUCUUUUAUAUCCUAUCAUUUUCUAUCCUGUUCUUUUCCAUUCUAUUAUAUUCUAAUCUAUUCUAGAAAUAACCAAUCAUAGUACGUCUAGAUGACACACAAACACGUGGGACGUUGUUUGUAAACAAACAGCAUUAUUCUGUAAUAUGACCACGUAUUCAGCUUAGGCAGCAACCAUUUGAUUUUUUCGGGGGGGGGGGCUAUGGUUUUUUUUGGAAAAAAAAGUUUGUUUCCAGGUUUUGGUGAAAAAAAUAAUUUGUUUUGGACCCUGAGAAAAUAAAAUGUUUGUUUCACCCUCAGCUGCCACUAUAUGUAAUGCUAAAAUUGAAAGAAAAAAAUUGUUUUCGGUUUGUUGCUAAAAAAAUAGAUUAUUUUUCGCCAAAGGCGAAAACAAAAGUUUGCACAGAAAAAAAAACCAUAGCCCCCCCCCCCCCCCCCCCCCCAGAAAAUCAAAUGGUUGCUGCCUUACUUAAUAAUUAUAUUGCGUAUAAGACAAUCUUAAGUUAAGAUCUUACAAUAAUAUUGUAUACAAGACACACGACGUUAAGCUAUAUUACAAUUCGGAUUUAAAAAAACAAAUAAAAGAAUGAACUUCGACGAGUUUUAACAUACUUGUUCGCGAUAUUGUCAUGUGAUAUAAUGAGUCAUUUUCUAAAAAUAGACAUUCAGUGUUGCAUAUAUAUAUGUAGGACUCUAAAGUGCGAUGGGGACGCUAAAGUACGAUAGUCACGCUAAAGUGCGAUGGUCUACCUUAAAGUACGAUUCCUCCAUACGCUAAAGUGCGAUGGUCCGCGAAAGUAUAGAGGAGAGAAUUGUACUUGGAUUAGGACGUUAAAAGUUGUUUAUACAAACCAAAAAUGUAUAUGCCGGAACAUAAAUUAAGAACAUUGAUUCACAACUUUUAAACCAAAUGUCCAUGAUUUAAUUUCAGACCUAACUGUGCAUCGUCGGCUGAAGCAACUGUGUUGAUUUAUUUCGGAUGCUGGAAGAAGGACUUGUGUCCUGCAGUCGACCAUUUUACUUUAUAGAUGCUAAAUAGGUUGAAAAUAGUAUACGCAUAGGUAUCGUAGAUCCUGCUUCUAUUGGCAGCGAACGGAUGCACUGAAAUUAUUGUUUACAAUUCCGUUUACAUUGCGGUCCCCGUUAAAAUAUUCUCGAUGUUAUUGAAAAGUAACGUCAGGAAAAUAAAGGUUCAUGUUUUUCAGCGUAAAUUAUAAAUUGUCGGCUAAAACAUAGUUUGUACAGUGCAGGAAAAUAUAACAUGUCUUUUUUACGGAAAAGAGAAAGCUCGACGAAUAUCGCUUGUCCUCGCAUUUAAGAAUAAAGCUAAACACCUUGUACAAAUAAAUGUUACUUAAUGUAUUCAGACAAUGUGGUCGGUCUUAUAAAUUUAGAAACUAUCACUAUAUAAGCUUACCGAUAAAUCAUAAAGCCUAUCACAUAUGUUAUACCUUAGCAUUCUAGCUUUUGCAAAUAGACUAUUUUUUUUAUUUUUUUAAAUCCAUGUAUUUAAAUGUUUUAAACCGUCGAUCUUAUCAUAUUGGUCCAUCGCACUUUAGCGUGAUAUACCAUCGUACUUUAGCAAACAAACAACCAUCGCACUUUAGCGUGAGACACCAUCGUACUUUAGCGUAGACCAUCGCACUUUAGCGUGACCAUUGCACUUUAGAGUACCAUCGCACUUUAGAGUCCUACAUAUAUAACACUUCUUAUGAAUCAACUAUAUAUGUAAAUUGGACACUGUAAAGUAAGCUUUUUCUUGAUAAUAUAAAAGUUUUAAUAUUUUUCAACAAAUUUAUAUCAUCUGAUAACAGUUUAUCUAUAUUAUCUUUUAUGCCCUGUGUUUUUAUUUUAAUUGUUAACUAUAAACGUUCAGUGUGCAACGACUAAACAAGUUGAUUGGAAUAUGUCAACAUGGUUAAGGUCUUAUCAUUUUUUUUAAUUUAGAUACCAGAAAUGUAAAAAUAAAAAAAAUUAUAUAAACCGAAAUUCAAUAUAAAUCAAAUUACUGAUCAUAGUUUAUUGAUAUGGGAUUCAAUUUAAUAUUUUGUAAGAUCUUAAUAUUUUGGGAGGUUGCAUUUAUAAUCUGUUAUCUUGCAUACCAGUUCUAACAGGGGUGAUCUGAGCCGGAUCACCCGUACCAGAUCACCCUAGUUUGAGUUUCUUUGUUAUGCAUGCCUUCCUUUGUUCUGUAACAUUUUGGCGGGAAUGUCAAAUCCACUAUAAAACUUAUAAUUAAAUAUACAAUUAUACGGAAAAGACUAUCUAUCAAAAUUAACGUAGAAAACAUCCAGUGUAUAUGCUGGGAUUCGAACUCAAGACCUUUAGCAUAUCAAGCCACAACACAACCACUACACCAGGACGACUGGAUAUGGACUAUCAGUAAUUUAACAUACUUAAAGGAAGUAAGAUGUUUUUUAUAAGUGGGGCGAGUUGGCAGACCUUUAUUCAGUGGGGUUUAAACCCCUUUCGUUAAUAAGUGAGUUGUCAGUGAAAAGUAAAAUCACAAAAAUACUGAACUCAGAGGAAAAUCAAUUCGGAUUUGUUCAGUUUGAUUUUACACUUUUUAAAAAUGGGGCGAGUCGGUAAACAAGAGUGGGCGAUUUUUUUUCUUCAAAAAGUGGCGAGUUGACAUUGUUUAAUAUCUACUUAUCGUGUUCGGGGGUCAAACAGGGUAUUAAUCAUAAAGUAAUGUAUAAAGUAUAUUAUAAUGGUUUUGUGGCGUUCUAAACUAGAUUUUAUGAAUUGUAAAUGGUUUUUCGUCUAAUCUUAAUUUUAAUAUUCAAGAUAAAAAAGUGACCUUAUCAUACGUUGUCUUUUACCAUUUUUUGGGUGUAUGUUUCUCUUUGAUCUUUGAUGCUAUCAUAGACUUCUACUCAUUGAUGUAUUUCAGAUACACAGAGAGGAUCAUACUUUAGAAGGAAGAUCUAUUCUUAUUGUUUUAAUUACUGAUUCAUGGACAUCACUUUUAAAUUCAUAUUAUGUAUUCCAUUUCUUUGAGUACGCACGAACAUAAAACUGUUGGUAAUUUAAGAAUGUCCAUUAAAGACUUAUGUUAAGGACAAGACUUUAAUUUUGUAAUUUAGCUCUUUUUUGACGUUAUAUAUAAUGAUUCAAGACUUAGUACUUUUUUGAUAUAUUGUUAUAUUGUGUCAUUUCCAAUCAGUUUAACUAACUUUAAAUUCUUUUCAGAACAAGCUCAUAGCCGCUUACAAGAUGUUCCGUCAGAUGCUGUAAUUGAUACUUUGACAGAAAAGAACCUGAUUGGUGAUUGCGUUGUUCAUUUAGGACUUUAAUUGUGUCUUAGCAUUUGGAACAUUAGGAGUACUUUAUACAAUUUUCCUAGGGAUGUGAAUGGUCAGGUUCGUGAUCUUCUCAUUAAAUGGAAGAAUUGCAAUGAAACCAAGGUGGUAAAACCAAAAAUAUACCGACUUGUGGUAGCUUUAAAACAUAUUAAAGCAGCGAAAGGACUUAGUUUUGUGAAGAAAACAUAUGGUGUGGAAAAACACCUGAUAUGUUGUAUGUUGUGUAAAAGAAGAUAACAAAACAUGUGUAAAGGUAGUAAACAAAUAUGACGGGUACAACAUAGUCUAUUGAUUCAUAGACAAUAGCUAGAAUUAAAUUUAAGUUCUGCUUCCCUUUUAUUAUUUGAUAAUCAAAGUGUCUGUAUAUAGUUAAACAGAUGCUACAAUCACGUUUUUUAGUAUUGCGAGUGAGAAAGUUCAAAUUCUAUAUAAUAAAACAAAAUCAAAGUACACUAGUGGCCUCAUUUGAUUCAAUUAUAUAAUGAACAAUACGUUCUAUAAGCAUGGACAGUUUUUCAUUCAUACAACUUCGAAAAUUAUGGAACCAAAAAAGGCUACCAUUUUCGCCAAUUAUGUAAAUAACUAUUUCAACGUCAAACGAUAUAUAUUAAUAAAAACAAACCACCUUAUCUUCUUUUUAUGUUUGAAGUUUUGUGCUUGUUAUCAACAUGGUUGUUAUUCUGAAUAGCAUUCCUAAACUGUGAACGCAUGAACUGUGUGUUCCUUCAGUUCUAGUACACGUUGUAGCUCACCUGGCAGAAAAACCAAAUUGAAUUCAUUUUGCAUCUGUCAUCCGUCUUCCGAAUAUCAUUCCUAAACUGUGAAUGCACGAACUGUGUGCUCCUUCAGUUCUAGUACACUAGUAAUUUUAGCUCAUCUGGUAGAGAUACUUAUUCAGUUUUUUUAUCAUUUCGCGUCUGUCUUCCGUCGUCUGUUAACUUUAUAACAGUUUUAUCCUCUGAAACUACUGGGUCAAAUUGAACGAUACUUAACAAACAAAAUCAUCAUUUUGUAAUUAAUUUGAAAAAAAUAUGUCCGAUGACCCGCCUACUAAUCAAGGUGGUCGACAGGCCUAAAAAAAAGAAGAUGGGGGGGGGAUGCCGGUUUUACCUAUCAUAUUGAAAACCGCCAUAAAUAAAAAUAUUUUAAGGGGUCACAAGAGUUUAGAAUGUUGAGCGGUACCUAUUGUCUAUUGAGGUCAAAACUGUCAGACGACUUUUUAUAGAAGUAAUUGCACUUACAUGGUGUUUAUUUUCCUUUCAAUGGCCAUGUCCAUAUCUUAAAUACAUUUUUGUUUCCACUAUAACACAAAUAAUUGGAAUAUAUUUAAACUAUCUGAGAAUCCUUACCAAGUAAUCUUUUUGAGAACCUCUCGUUUUGUAUCAGAGUAUUGUUUUAGAUUUCCCUAAGCAAAUCUUGAAUAUUGCCAUUGAUAUAUAUGAGAUUAGGAUAUCAUUUUGGGAUCUUUACUCGCAGUACCUCUAGUUUUACUGGUUUUCUUUUACUGUUUCUUCUGAAAUUGUCUAAUGUUGUAUAGUAAUAAUAUUGCACAUGAUUUUAACGUACAUAACCCAAUAAAUAGUAAAUUUACAAGUU
RNAcentral lists this long non-coding RNA (6220 nucleotides) under Mytilus galloprovincialis (Mediterranean mussel). Lineage: Eukaryota; Metazoa; Mollusca; Bivalvia; Mytilida; Mytilidae. The record is from RNAcentral.